UCGCAAUCCCCAAUUUUGGCGGGCGGCCUUCAACCCCAACCAUGGCACGGGAUUUUUGGAUUUUAGUGGGGACCGGGUAGUCACCGGUAAGAUUCUUAAUUCGGGGACGGGGACAACAGUUGGAAACGCCUGCUUAAUCCCGGAUGGCCCGCAAGGUGAAACCUAAUUGGCCUGAAAAAAGCCUGGGUUUGAUUAGCUAGUUGGGGGGUAAGAGCCUACCAAGGCGACGAUCAGUAGCUGUUCUAAGAGGAUGAGCAGCCACCCUGGGACUGAGACCCGGCCCAGACUCCUACGGGAGGCAGCAGUGGGGAAUUUUCCGCAAUGGGCGAAAGCCUGACGGAGCAACGCCGCGUGAGGGAGGAAGGUCUUUGGAUUGUAAACCUCUUUUCUCAAGGAAGAAGUUCUGACGGUACUUGAGGAAUCAGCCUCGGCUAACUCCGUGCCAGCAGCCGCGGUAAUACGGGGGAGGCAAGCGUUAUCCGGAAUUAUUGGGCGUAAAGCGUCCGCAGGUGGUCAGCCAAGUCUGCCGUCAAAUCAGGUUGCUUAACGACCUAAAGGCGGUGGAAACUGGCAGACUAGAGAGCAGUAGGGGUAGCAGGAAUUCCCAGUGUAGCGGUGAAAUGCGUAGAGAUUGGGAAGAACAUCGGUGGCGAAAGCGUGCUACUGGGCUGUAUCUGACACUCAGGGACGAAAGCUAGGGGAGCGAAAGGGAUUAGAUACCCCUGUAGUCCUAGCCGUAAACGAUGGAUACUAGGCGUGGCUUGUAUCGACCCGAGCCGUGCCGAAGCUAACGCGUUAAGUAUCCCGCCUGGGGAGUACGCACGCAAGUGUGAAACUCAAAGGAAUUGACGGGGGCCCGCACAAGCGGUGGAGUAUGUGGUUUAAUUCGAUGCAACGCGAAGAACCUUACCAAGACUUGACAUGUCGCGAACCCUGGUGAAAGCUGGGGGUGCCUUCGGGAGCGCGAACACAGGUGGUGCAUGACUGUCGUCAGCUCGAGUCGAGAGAUGUUGGGUUAAGUCCCGCAACGAGCGCAACCCUCGUUCUUAGUUGCCAGCAUUAAGUUGGGGACUCUAAGGAGACUGCCGGUGACAAACCGGAGGAAGGUGGGGAUGACGUCAAGUCAGCAUGCCCCUUACGUCUUGGGCGACACACGUACUACAAUGGUCGGGACAAAGGGCAGCGAACUCGCGAGAGCCAGCGAAUCCCAGCAAACCCGGCCUCAGUUCAGAUUGCAGGCUGCAACUCGCCUGCAUGAAGGAGGAAUCGCUAGUAAUCGCCGGUCAGCAUACGGCGGUGAAUUCGUCCCGGGCCUGACACCCCGCCUCCGACCGGGGAUCCC
This 1342-nucleotide ribosomal RNA is filed under the name Microcystis viridis UPMC-A0039. Its description in RNAcentral is "bacterial SSU rRNA". It matches the Rfam family "Bacterial small subunit ribosomal RNA", at positions 44 to 1413 of the family's 1533-position model. Lineage: Bacteria; Bacillati; Cyanobacteriota; Cyanophyceae; Chroococcales; Microcystaceae. The record is from RNAcentral.